Molecule: ribosomal RNA, 496 nt
Filed under: uncultured bacterium
Lineage: Bacteria
Description: partial 16S ribosomal RNA
Rfam family: Bacterial small subunit ribosomal RNA
Source: RNAcentral
GAUGAACGCUGGCGGCGUGCCUAAUACAUGCAAGUCGAGCGAACGGACGAGAAGCUUGCUUCUCUGAUGUUAGCGGCGGACGGGUGAGUAACACGUGGAUAACCUACCUAUAAGACUGGGAUAACUUCGGGAAACCGGAGCUAAUACCGGAUGAUAUUUUGAACCGCAUGGUUCAAAAGUGAAAGACGGUCUUGCUGUCACUUAUAGAUGGAUCCGCGCUGCAUUAGCUAGUUGGUAAGGUAACGGCUUACCAAGGCAACGAUGCAUAGCCGACCUGAGAGGGUGAUCGGACACACUGGAACUGAGACACGGUCCAGACUCCUACGGGAGGCAGCAGUAGGGAAUCUUCCGCAGUGGGCGAAAGCCUGACGGAGCAACGCCGCGUGAGUGAUGAAGGUCUUCGGAUCGUAAAACUCUGUUAUUAGGGAAGAACAUAUGUGUAAGUAACUGUGCACAUCUUGACGGUACCUAAUCAGAAAGCCACGGCUAACUACGU